Molecule: ribosomal RNA, 250 nt
Filed under: uncultured bacterium
Lineage: Bacteria
Description: partial small subunit ribosomal RNA
Rfam family: Bacterial small subunit ribosomal RNA
Source: RNAcentral
AGGACGAACGCUGGCGGCGUGCUUAACACAUGCAAGUCGAACGGUGAAGCCUUUCGGGGUGGAUCAGUGGCGAACGGGUGAGUAACACGUGGGCAAUCUGCCCUGCAUUCUGGGACAAGCCUUGGAAACGAGGUCUAAUACCGGAUACGACGCAUCUCCGCAUGGGGUGUGCGUGGAAAGCUCCGGCGAUGCAGGAUGAGCCCGCGGCCUAUCAGCUUGUUGGUGGGUAAUGGCCUACCAAGGCGACGAC